UGGUCGAGCGGACAAGAAGAAGAGCUUGCUCCCGGAUGUUAGCGGCGGACGGGUGAGUAACACGUGGGUAACCUGCCUGUAAGACUGGGAUAACUCCGGGAAACCGGAGCUAAUACCGGAUAGUUCCUUGAACCGCAUGGUUCAAGGAUGAAAGACGGUUUCGGCUGUCACUUACAGAUGGACCCGCGGCGCAUUAGCUAGUUGGUGGGGUAAUGGCUCACCAAGGCGACGAUGCGUAGCCGACCUGAGAGGGUGAUCGGCCACACUGGGACUGAGACACGGCCCAGACUCCUACGGGAGGCAGCAGUAGGGAAUCUUCCGCAAUGGACGAAAGUCUGACGGAGCAACGCCGCGUGAGUGAUGAAGGUUUUCGGAUCGUAAAGCUCUGUUGUUAGGGAAGAACAAGUGCGAGAGUAACUGCUCGCACCUUGACGGUACCUAACCAGAAAGCCACGGCUAACUACGUGCCAGCAGCCGCGGUAAUACGUAGGUGGCAAGCGUUGUCCGGAAUUAUUGGGCGUAAAGGGCUCGCAGGCGGUUUCUUAAGUCUGAUGUGAAAGCCCCCGGCUCAACCGGGGAGGGUCAUUGGAAACUGGGAAACUUGAGUGCAGAAGAGGAGAGUGGAAUUCCACGUGUAGCGGUGAAAUGCGUAGAGAUGUGGAGGAACACCAGUGGCGAAGGCGACUCUCUGGUCUGUAACUGACGCUGAGGAGCGAAAGCGUGGGGAGCGAACAGGAUUAGAUACCCUGGUAGUCCACGCCGUAAACGAUGAGUGCUAAGUGUUAGGGGGUUUCCGCCCCUUAGUGCUGCAGCUAACGCAUUAAGCACUCCGCCUUGGGGAGUACGGUCGCAAGACUGAAACUCAAAGGGAUUGACGGGGGCCCGCACAAGCGUUGGAGCAUUGUGGUUUAAUUCGGAAGCACGCGAAGAACCUUACCAGGUUCUUGAACAUCCUUCUGACACCCUAGAGAUAGGGCUUUCCCUUCGGGACAGAGUGACAGGUGGUGCAUGGUUGUCGUCAGCUCGUGUCGUGAAAUGUUGGGUUAAGUCCGCACGAGCGCACCCUUUGAUCUUAGUUGCAGCAUUCAGUUGGACUCUAAGGUGUACUUGCGGUGACAAACCGUGAGAAGUGUGGUGUACGUCAAUCUUCUUGUGCCCUAUAGUGACCGGCCUCACACUUGGCUUGCA
This 1188-nucleotide ribosomal RNA is filed under the name Bacillus safensis. Its description in RNAcentral is "bacterial SSU rRNA". It matches the Rfam family "Bacterial small subunit ribosomal RNA", at positions 59 to 1229 of the family's 1533-position model. Lineage: Bacteria; Bacillati; Bacillota; Bacilli; Caryophanales; Bacillaceae. The record is from RNAcentral.